GUAGGUGGCAAGCGUUGUCCGGAUUUACUGGGCGUAAAGGGCGCGCAGGGCGGCUCGUCAAGUCUGGGGGGUGAAAUCUCCCGGCUCAACCGGGAGAGGUCUCUGGAUACUGACGGGCUUGAGGGAAGCAGAGGAGAGCGGAAUUCCCGGUGUAGCGGUGAUAUGCGUAGAUAUCGGGAGGAACACCAGUGGCGAAGGCGGCUCUCUGGGCUUUUCCUGACGCUGAGGCGCGAAAGCGUGGGGAGCGAACCGGAUUAGAUACCCGGGUAGUCCACGCCGUAAACGUUGUGCACUAGGUGUGGGGGGUAUUGACCCCCUCCGUGCCGCAGUUAACGCGAUAAGUGCACCGCCUGGGGAGUACGGCCGCAAAGGCUAA
This 376-nucleotide ribosomal RNA is filed under the name uncultured organism. Its description in RNAcentral is "partial 16S ribosomal RNA". It matches the Rfam family "Bacterial small subunit ribosomal RNA", at positions 527 to 897 of the family's 1533-position model. The record is from RNAcentral.